Molecule: ribosomal RNA, 501 nt
Filed under: Triticum aestivum (bread wheat)
Lineage: Eukaryota; Viridiplantae; Streptophyta; Magnoliopsida; Poales; Poaceae
Description: partial small subunit ribosomal RNA
Source: RNAcentral
AUGUUGUCGCUCUGCUUGAGUCAUCCAUAUCCACAUUACGAGCCCGAGACUUCCAUCACAACAAACUAUAUGUAUCCAGGUAGUGUCCAAUAUGUACACACAGGCUCCUCUCACAGGCCGACUAAGCUGAUUGUAACUGAAUGUGUGUGUGUGGCCGUGAAGCAGACUUUAUCUUGGUCUGAGUAUCAGUUCCCUUCUCCACAUUACGAGCCCGAGACUUCCAUCACAACAAACUAUAUGUAUCCAGGUAGUGUCCAAUAUGUACACACAGGCUCCUCUCACAGGCCGACUAAGCUGAUUGUAACUGAAUGUGUGAGUGUGGCCGUGAAGCAGACUUUAUCUUGGUCUGAGUAUCAUUUCCCUUCAAUGGUACAAUUUUGGAUACUAUUUUCUUCUAGAUGUAUAGGUUUCUGCUGGUCCCAUUGGCUGCUACAUUUUAGUGAUACAAUAGCUCAAUGUCAUGCUCACCAAUUAUUCUGUAAAAAUGAAAAAUCGACUUGA